This 314-nucleotide long non-coding RNA is filed under the name Lathyrus oleraceus (garden pea). RNAcentral's name for it is "Pisum sativum (pea) long non-coding RNA (PSAT_LNC004991)". The record is from RNAcentral. Lineage: Eukaryota; Viridiplantae; Streptophyta; Magnoliopsida; Fabales; Fabaceae.
AUUCAGAGGCUUAGAAGAAGUAUCUCAUUUGAAACUGGAGAAACGGUAUGUUCGUGGGUUGAAGUUGAAAGCGACAUUGAUUGCAUCCAAAUGAUGCAUGGAUCAGACGACAUAGUGUUGACUGUUGUAAUUUCCUAGAUAUUAAUGGUUGUUUGUGUUGUUGUUGUUGUAUUUGUUAUUGUUCUAGUACUUGUUCUUGUUUUAGUACCUGUUUUAGUAAUUGGUGUUGUAAUGUUAGAUGUUUGUGUUUGUUGUUCCAGUGUCAUCUUCUAUUUGGAAUGAAAAGUAAACUUUAUUGAUAAAUAGCAUUGGUA